Sapajus apella (tufted capuchin) is the source of this 843-nucleotide long non-coding RNA. RefSeq lists it as uncharacterized. Lineage: Eukaryota; Metazoa; Chordata; Mammalia; Primates; Cebidae. The transcript is spliced from 2 exons. The record is from RefSeq and is a predicted model, not a curated record.
UUAUUAUAGUAUGAUUCUGUUUAUUUAAAAGUUCAAAAACAGACAAAACAAAACUGGAGUUCUUGUAUGAGGAUGAUCAAUUUGUGAUAAGUGAUCAAGUUGUACACAUGAGAUUCAUGUAUGUUUCUGUAUAUAAACUUUAUUUUUCAAAAGAAAAGUUAAAAAUCUUAAAAUGGGGAGAGAGAGAGCAGUAGAGAGGGAGGGAGGAGCUUUUAUAUAAAGGUAAUUACUUUGUAAUAAGUGAUCAAGCUGUAAAUGUAAAAUUUGUAUAUUUUUCUGUAUGAAUUUUACUUUUCAAAAUAAAUAUUUAAAAUCUAAGCUGAAAUGAGAGUGGUAAGAGGAAGGAAGUUAGGGGAGGAGGAAGAAAGGAAGACAGAUGGGGAGGAAGAAAGGAAGACAGAUGGAAAGGAAGAAAGGAAGGAAAGACCAGAUUGACUAAUAUGUUUUUCUGGCAGCCCUUGCCCUGUGUGGCUGGUUAGGUGCAUGAACCUAGCAUGUACCACACAUCUAAUCAUGUCUUUCUGUCCUGUAUUCCCAGGCAGGUUUGUUUCUGGUCUAAACUAUGUUCUUAAAUUUGUUUCGAUUAAAAGUAGAACUUCAUUAAAAAAAAAUGGUCAAUGAUCCUAUGUAUUUCCUAUCACAUUUCAUAUAAAAUAUUAAAAAUUAAUAAACCACACAAAUGUUUAAGUCAGGAACAUCAAGAAGAAAUAACAAAGGAGACUGAGUGUGGCCAGAAAGAGAGGAGAAAACUUGGAAGACAGUGGCCUGACAGAAGUCAAGGGAUGAAAGCAUUUGAAAGAAGUGGCUCAGGCAACAGAAACAGAUAUUGAAGAGAGUUCAAAU